RNAcentral lists this ribosomal RNA (434 nucleotides) under uncultured Lachnospiraceae bacterium. RNAcentral's name for it is "bacterial SSU rRNA". It matches the Rfam family "Bacterial small subunit ribosomal RNA", at positions 341 to 792 of the family's 1533-position model. The record is from RNAcentral. Lineage: Bacteria; Bacillati; Bacillota; Clostridia; Lachnospirales; Lachnospiraceae.
ACGGAAGGCAGCAGUGGGGAAUAUUGCACAAUGGGGGAAACCCUGAUGCAGCGACGCCGCGUGAGUGAAGAAGUUAUUCGUAAUGUAAAGCUCUAUCAGCAGGGAAGAAAAUGACGGUACCUGACUAAGAAGCCCCGGCUAACUACGUGCCAGCAGCCGCGGUAAUACGUAGGGGGCAAGCGUUAUCCGGAUUUACUGGGUGUAAAGGGAGCGUAGACGGUCUAGCAAGUCUGAUGUGAAAGGCAGGGGCUCAACUCCUGGACUGCAUUGGAAACUGUUAGUCUUGAGUGUCGGAGAGGUAAGCGGAAUUCCUAGUGUAGCGGUGAAAUGCGUAGAUAUUAGGAGGAACACCAGUGGCGAAGGCGGCCUGCUGGACUGUUACUGACGCUGAGGCACGAAAGCGUGGGGAGCAAACAGGAUUAGAUACCCUGGUA